Molecule: ribosomal RNA, 253 nt
Filed under: uncultured bacterium
Lineage: Bacteria
Description: partial 16S ribosomal RNA
Rfam family: Bacterial small subunit ribosomal RNA
Source: RNAcentral
UACGUAGGGUGCAAGCGUUAAUCGGAAUUACUGGGCGUAAAGCGUGCGCAGGCGGCUUUGCAAGUCAGAUGUGAAAUCCCCGGGCUCAACCUGGGAACUGCAUUUGUGACUGCAUGGCUAGAGUGCGGCAGAGGGGGAUGGAAUUCCGCGUGUAGCAGUGAAAUGCGUAGAUAUGCGGAGGAACGCCGAUGGCGAAGGCAAUCCCCUGGGCCUGCACUGACGCUCAUGCACGAAAGCGUGGGGAGCAAACAGG